GGUCGCGUAGUGUAGCGGUUAACACUCCUGCCUGUCACGCAGGAGAUCGCGGGUUCGAUUCCCGUCGAGACCGCCA
This 76-nucleotide transfer RNA is filed under the name Staphylococcus aureus. Its description in RNAcentral is "tRNA-Asp". It matches the Rfam family "tRNA". From Rfam's summary of the family: Transfer RNA (tRNA) molecules are approximately 80 nucleotides in length. Their secondary structure includes four short double-helical elements and three loops (D, anti-codon, and T loops). Lineage: Bacteria; Bacillati; Bacillota; Bacilli; Caryophanales; Staphylococcaceae. The record is from RNAcentral.